Molecule: transfer RNA, 72 nt
Filed under: Angiostrongylus costaricensis
Lineage: Eukaryota; Metazoa; Nematoda; Chromadorea; Rhabditida; Metastrongylidae
Rfam family: tRNA
About the family: Transfer RNA (tRNA) molecules are approximately 80 nucleotides in length. Their secondary structure includes four short double-helical elements and three loops (D, anti-codon, and T loops).
Source: Rfam by way of RNAcentral
GCCUCAUUGGCUCAGGGGCAGAGGGUCCAUCUAGUAAACAGAAGAUCGCUGGUUCGAUUCCAGCAUGAGGCA